RNAcentral lists this ribosomal RNA (515 nucleotides) under uncultured bacterium. RNAcentral describes it as "partial 16S ribosomal RNA". It matches the Rfam family "Bacterial small subunit ribosomal RNA", at positions 28 to 523 of the family's 1533-position model. The record is from RNAcentral.
GAUGAACGCUGGCGGCGUGCCUAAUACAUGCAAGUCGAGCGAAUGGAUUAAGAGCUUGCUCUUAUGAAGUUAGCGGCGGACGGGUGAGUAACACGUGGGUAACCUGCCCAUAAGACUGGGAUAACUCCGGGAAACCGGGGCUAAUACCGGAUAACAUUUUGAACCGCAUGGUUCGAAAUUGAAAGGCGGCUUCGGCUGUCACUUAUGGAUGGACCCGCGUCGCAUUAGCUAGUUGGUGAGGUAACGGCUCACCAAGGCAACGAUGCGUAGCCGACCUGAGAGGGUGAUCGGCCACACUGGGACUGGGACCGGGCCCAGACUCCUACGGGAGGCAGCAGUAGGGAAUCUUCCGCAAUGGACGAAAGUCUGACGGAGCAACGCCGCGUGAGUGAUGAAGGCUUUCGGGUCGUAAAACUCUGUUGUUAGGGAAGAACAAGUGCUAGUUGAAUAAGCUGGCACCUUGACGGUACCUAACCAGAAAGCCACGGCUAACUACGUGCCAGCCGCCGCCGUAA